AUUAAAAUCCAUGCUGUUUGACGCCAGUGACGUAGCAAGAAGGGGGGCAUGGCCAUAUUUUACUGCCCCUCCUUCCCAAAAAAUCCUGGGAACGGCACUGUUUGACGCUUUCUCAAUAUUUUUUCAAAUGUGGCUAACAUGAAUCAUGUCUAGAAGUCUAUACCAUUUGUGCAAGAUUUUUGCAUAUACUCUGGCUUAAAAAGUGCACGCCUUUAUAUGAAAGUUUGCAUUACUGUCUUCAUUCUGCUUGCAAUUUCGUCAUCCUGAAUGUUUCUUGCGUUUCAUUUCCAAGUACUCGCACUCAAAGGUAUGGUUAAAACCGUACAGAAAGACCAGCGUAUUUAUCAAUGAUCUAGAACCCAAUCCACUAGUUAACUGACUCCGCCGAUAUUGUAUGGCAAAACUGACAAUAUUUACGACUAAUAUCUGCUUUUGCUGAGUUGAUAUAAAGUUGCAAAGCUCAUAGUAUGGGUUUAAAUCUUCAAAUGUUUGAUAGGAAAGGUUUUUUAAACUUUAUUUUACCUCACUUUUCAUUUUGAGUUUUACUUUUUUCCCUCUAUUCUAUGAUGGCGUCCUUGCCUCAUCUUGACACGGCAGUUAGACAUCUAGAAGACUGGGUUCUAAAUUAUUGGUAUUUAUCAGUGUAUUUAUACAUAGAACUACGGUUAUAUCAACAGAACGUUAAUGCGCCACAUCCUUACACCUAUUUUCUAUCGUUUGUCUCAGUUUUUAGCCAAUUUUGCUAAUCUAUAUAGAUAGCAAGUCAUCGUUACAUCUAUUCAAGGAAUGUAAGAUUUGUAGUAGGUUUGACCUAACAGUUGUAUGAAAUUUAUUUAUUCGCUGUAAUUUUUUUUUAAAAGGAAUACCAGUCUUAAAAUUAUUUAGCUACCGUGUAACCUUUCAUCGAAGUUAUAUAUUUUCAAAUAAACACAUGCACUUAUCAGUU
Xenia sp. Carnegie-2017 is the source of this 946-nucleotide long non-coding RNA. RefSeq lists it as uncharacterized. The transcript is spliced from 2 exons. The record is from RefSeq and is a predicted model, not a curated record. Lineage: Eukaryota; Metazoa; Cnidaria; Anthozoa; Malacalcyonacea; Xeniidae.